Molecule: small RNA, 171 nt
Filed under: Parus major (Great Tit)
Lineage: Eukaryota; Metazoa; Chordata; Aves; Passeriformes; Paridae
Description: TUC338 (ENSPMJG00000005708.1)
Source: RNAcentral
AUGCUUGUUAAGAAGGAAAUUCUUUGUUUGGGUACAGCACAGGGCAGCACGGGGAGCAGCAGCCCAAAGCCUCCUAUGUAGCUCUAUCAGAUGUCUCAUCCCUGACCUGGAAUGCAGGGAGGGAGGUGAAAGGUUAGUCCAUUCUUCAUGCUCAUUCAAUACUUCACUUCU